CCUACGGGCGGCUGCAGUGGGGAAUAUUGGACAAUGGGGGCAACCCUGAUCCAGCCAUGCCGCGUGUGUGAAGAAGGCCCUCGGGUUGUAAAGCACUUUCAGUGAGGAAGAACGCCUGGUGGUUAAUACCCAUCAGGAAAGACAUCACUCACAGAAGAAGCACCGGCUAACUCCGUGCCAGCAGCCGCGGUAAUACGGAGGGUGCGAGCGUUAAUCGGAAUUACUGGGCGUAAAGCGCGCGUAGGUGGCUUGAUAAGCCGGUUGUGAAAGCCCCGGGCUCAACCUGGGAACGGCAUCCGGAACUGUCAAGCUAGAGUGCAGGAGAGGAAGGUAGAAUUCCCGGUGUAGCGGUGAAAUGCGUAGAGAUCGGGAGGAAUACCAGUGGCGAAGGCGGCCUUCUGGACUGAAACUGACACUGAGGUGCGAAAGCGUGGGUAGCAAACAGGAUUAGAUACCCGAGUAGUC
RNAcentral lists this ribosomal RNA (465 nucleotides) under Vreelandella stevensii. Its description in RNAcentral is "partial 16S ribosomal RNA". It matches the Rfam family "Bacterial small subunit ribosomal RNA", at positions 338 to 795 of the family's 1533-position model. Lineage: Bacteria; Pseudomonadati; Pseudomonadota; Gammaproteobacteria; Oceanospirillales; Halomonadaceae. The record is from RNAcentral.